RNAcentral lists this ribosomal RNA (468 nucleotides) under uncultured bacterium. RNAcentral describes it as "partial 16S ribosomal RNA". It matches the Rfam family "Bacterial small subunit ribosomal RNA", at positions 28 to 507 of the family's 1533-position model. The record is from RNAcentral.
GACGAACGCUGGCGGCGUGCUUAACACAUGCAAGUCGAACGGAAAGGCCCUGCUCUUGUGGGGUGCUCGAGUGGCGAACGGGUGAGUAACACGUGAGUAACCUGCCCUUGACUUUGGGAUAACUUCAGGAAACUGGGGCUAAUACCGGAUAGGAGCUCCUGCUGCAUGGUGGGGGUUGGAAAGUUUCGGCGGUUGUGGAUGGACUCGCGGCUUAUCAGCUUGUUGGUGGGGUAGUGGCUUACCAAGGCUUUGACGGGUAGCCGGCCUGGGAGGGUGACCGGCCACAUUGGGACUGAGAUACGGCCCAGACUCCUACGGGAGGCAGCAGUGGGGAAUAUUGCACAAUGGGCGGAAGUCUGAUGCAGCAACGCCGCGUGCGGGAUGACGGCCUUCGGGUUGUAAACCGCUUUCGCCUGUGACGAAGCGUGAGUGACGGUAAUGGGUAAAGAAGCACCGGCUAACUACGUG